UACACUCCUACGGGAGGCAGCAGUGGGGAAUUUUGGACAAUGGGCGAAAGCCUGAUCCAGCAAUGCCGCGUGAGUGAAGAAGGCCUUCGGGUUGUAAAGCUCUUUUGUCAGGGAAGAAACGGUGAGAGCUAAUAUCUUUUGCUAAUGACGGUACCUGAAGAAUAAGCACCGGCUAACUACGUGCCAGCAGCCGCGGUAAUACGUAGGGUGCAAGCGUUAAUCGGAAUUACUGGGCGUAAAGCGUGCGCAGGCGGUUUUGUAAGUCUGAUGUGAAAUCCCCGGGCUCAACCUGGGAAUUGCAUUGGAGACUGCAAGGCUAGAAUCUGGCAGAGGGGGGUAGAAUUCCACGUGUAGCAGUGAAAUGCGUAGAUAUGUGGAGGAACACCGAUGGCGAAGGCAGCCCCCUGGGUCAAGAUUGACGCUCAUGCACGAAAGCGUGGGGAGCAAACAGGAUUAGAAACCCCAGUAGUCCCAUGA
Molecule: ribosomal RNA, 477 nt
Filed under: uncultured organism
Description: partial 16S ribosomal RNA
Rfam family: Bacterial small subunit ribosomal RNA
Source: RNAcentral